Molecule: unclassified non-coding RNA, 351 nt
Filed under: soil metagenome
Description: partial contains 5.8S ribosomal RNA, internal transcribed spacer 2, and large subunit ribosomal RNA
Rfam family: 5.8S ribosomal RNA (bases 1-120)
Source: RNAcentral
GAUGAAGAACGUAGCGAAAUGCGAUAAGUAAUGUGAAUUGCAGAAUUCAGUGAAUCAUCGAAUCUUUGAACGCACAUUGCGCCCGCCAGUAUUCUGGCGGGCAUGCCUGUUCGAGCGUCAUUACAACCCUCAGGCCCCGGGCCUGGCGUUGGGGAUCGGCGGAGCCCCCCGUGGGCACACGCCGUCCCCCAAAUGCAGUGGCGGUCCCGCCGCAGCUUCCAUCGCGUAGUAGCUAACACCUCGCGACUGGAGAGCGGCGCGGCCACGCCGUAAAACGCCCAACUCUUCUGAAGUUGACCUCGAAUCAGGUAGGAAUGCCCGCUGAACUUAAGCGUAUCGAUAAGCGGAGGA